Molecule: ribosomal RNA, 868 nt
Filed under: uncultured Bacillota bacterium
Lineage: Bacteria; Bacillati; Bacillota
Description: bacterial SSU rRNA
Rfam family: Bacterial small subunit ribosomal RNA
Source: RNAcentral
CUGGCUCAGGAUGAACGCUGGCGGCGUGCCUAACACAUGCAAGUCGAGCGGGAAAUCCGUGACGGAUCCUUCGGGUGACGGAUCGGAUGGAGAGCGGCGGACGGGUGAGUAACGCGUAGGUAACCUGCCCUGUACAGAGGGAUAGCCACUGGAAACGGUGAUUAAUACCUCAUAAUGCCGGAUCUGCACAUGCAGGACCGGUCAAAGUUUUUUCGGUACAGGAUGGACCUGCGUCUGAUUAGCUUGUUGGUGGGGUAACGGCUCACCAAGGCGACGAUCAGUAGCCGAUCUGAGAGGGUGAUCGGCCACAUUGGAACUGAGACACGGUCCAAACUCCUACGGGAGGCAGCAGUGGGGAAUAUUGCACAAUGGGGGAAACCCUGAUGCAGCAACGCCGCGUGAACGAAGAAGGCUCUUGGGUCGUAAAGUUCUGUUCUGAGGGAAGAAGAAAGUGACGGUACCUCAGGAGAAAGCCCCGGCUAACUACGUGCCAGCAGCCGCGGUAAUACGUAGGGGGCAAGCGUUGUCCGGAAUUAUUGGGCGUAAAGAGUACGUAGGCGGUCUGGUAAGCGCAAGGUGAAAGGCAUAGGCUCAACCAAUGUCAGCCUUGCGAACUGUCAGACUUGAGUGCAGGAGGGGAAAGUGGAAUUCCUAGUGUAGCGGCGAAAUGCGUAGAUAUUAGGAGGAACACCAGUGGCGAAGGCGACUUUCUGGACUGUAACUGACGCUGAGGUACGAAAGCGUGGGGAGCAAACAGGAUUAGAUACCCUGGUAGUCCACGCCGUAAACGAUGAGCACUAGGUGUCGGGGCCGCAGGGCUUCGGUGCCGCAGUUAACGCAUUAAGUGCUCCGCCUGGGGAGUACGCAC